This 511-nucleotide ribosomal RNA is filed under the name Salmonella enterica subsp. enterica serovar Enteritidis. RNAcentral's name for it is "partial 23S ribosomal RNA". It matches the Rfam family "Bacterial large subunit ribosomal RNA", at positions 767 to 1275 of the family's 2925-position model. Lineage: Bacteria; Pseudomonadati; Pseudomonadota; Gammaproteobacteria; Enterobacterales; Enterobacteriaceae. The record is from RNAcentral.
UGGAGGACCGAACCGACUAAUGUUGAAAAAUUAGCGGAUGACCUGUGGCUGGGGGUGAAAGGCCAAUCAAACCGGGAGAUAGCUGGUUCUCCCCGAAAGCUAUUUAGGUAGCGCCUCGUGAAUUCAUCUCCGGGGGUAGAGCACUGUUUCGGCUAGGGGGCCAUCCCGGCUUACCAACCCGAUGCAAACUGCGAAUACCGGAGAAUGUUAUCACGGGAGACACACGGCGGGUGCUAACGUCCGUCGUGAAGAGGGAAACAACCCAGACCGCCAGCUAAGGUCCCAAAGUCAUGGUUAAGUGGGAAACGAUGUGGGAAGGCCCAGACAGCCAGGAUGUUGGCUUAGAAGCAGCCAUCAUUUAAAGAAAGCGUAAUAGCUCACUGGUCGAGUCGGCCUGCGCGGAAGAUGUAACGGGGCUAAACCAUGCACCGAAGCUGCGGCAGCGACACUGUGUGUUGUUGGGUAGGGGAGCGUUCUGUAAGCCUGUGAAGGUGUGUCGUGAGGCAUGCUG